Molecule: long non-coding RNA, 549 nt
Organism: Vidua chalybeata
Lineage: Eukaryota; Metazoa; Chordata; Aves; Passeriformes; Viduidae
Exons: 4
Source: RefSeq, a predicted model, not a curated record
ACAUGGAUAGGUGGGAUUCAGGGAAUCACAUUCCCACCUGGGAUGCUCCUUACACAGCACAAAUCACGGCUACGUCACGAUGUGGGCCUGGGUGUCACAGACAGGCAGAGCUGCCACUGGCACAGGAUCAGGCUGCAAACCCAUCCCUGCCAGGCUGGAGAGGGAUGCAGAGCUCGGGGCUCCCUUAUUGCAGCACUGCAGGAAGACAAUCAAAAGAAAAAGUUAAUGAGGGAGAUGCCAGAGGCCCAAUCUCCUGCCCAAGAAGCUGGCACCAUUCCCUCCCUGCACCCAUCACACUGUGGCCUGCCCAGACCUUCUCACGGGGCUCUGUGAGGUUCCACUGAAAAUCCCACCGAGAGGAAUUGGGAGCUUGGAGAGAUAGGAAAAAUAGGCAGGACAAGCUUGAAUCCUGGGUCCUUUCUCUGUUUCUCUGCAGGUUUUUAUUUGUUUGUCUCCAGCCCAACCCCUCUGGUUUUCUUGCAGAGAUGAGGCUUUUGUGAGAACAAAUAUUAGUUUUAACAAACAAACAAAUAAAAAGAAGGAAAAUCU